CGAGCUCUGAGACAACUGGGAGAGAGCUGUGCAUGGGGGCUUUGCCUCGAGCGGCGAUCGUGUGGGACCAGCGUCGUUCUGCGGAGCGGCCUGGCACGUUGGUGGCGGGGUUGCAAAAUCAAACGAAGAUUAUGAGAUCAGUGAUGUGAGUGAUCUGCUACAUUUCCUUUCAAACCUGAGAUCCGGGUGUGCAGCUCAAUUAGACCUCAUACUUGCGUGCCUCUGACUUUGGUGCUGUACUUUGCAGGAUGAAACAGACGUUCCGAACAGCUACUGAAAAUUGACAGAGCUCUGAAGUGUGCGAGGAUUACUGAAGAAGCAUUUAACAUUUAACUUUCCCCACUGUAACACCCAGAGGUAUGGCUUUGUGGAUGUAUACGUAAUGCCUCUGACUUCUAUCUUGAUUUUUCUUUUAGUUUGAAGAUGAUGUCACUACACAAGGUAGCCACACCACGUGCAAGGACCUUGCUUACAUAUGUCAAUGAUUUAAAGGAAAGAUGUUACUGUUACUGUAACUCAUAAUCCUCUCAUCGCUGUUAUAAGUUGCUGGAUAACUUCUGAUGUCAUCUUUGUAGGCUUUGGGCCUCUAACUAAAGAAAUCAAAGAAAAACAUGUAACAAAUAACAUUGCAUUCCUCUUUGACUGGAAGUAAGGUAGGUUGUACUAUAUUUGUCUGUCUUAUUAAAAACCAUUGGGAAACAUACCUGUCUUGUCAGGGACUUUAUACAAUUACCGCUGCAUUGCAUAGGAAAAUGAGAAUGCAGCCAAUUACUACAUGGCAUUCAGUAUUGUUUGAUUAUUAGCAUGCAUUCAUGCUUCUUUUCACUAAAAUGACAUUUAAAGCUAUGAAACAUAGUUCUAUACGCUUGGUUCAUUAAGAAUGAAAAUGCAAAGUUAAACACAAAAGAAGCGGAAGAGAAAAUGAUCAGUGAGGAAGAGGAUUCUGGAUGGAUUAUCUAUGUUAAGAGGCUCAAAGGCAGGAUUAAAACAGAGGCAGUCAAAGCAUGUGCGUGGUUGCCAAACAAGUAAAAUGGAAUAUCGGAUCCAUCUGGCAGCACAUUAGGCAAAUAAAUAGAGAGGCUCAUUAAUUACUGUAUUCACAUUAAACAGUCUGUAAACAAUUACUAGAAACCAAAUAUUAUAAAAUAGAUAAAAUCAAAGAGCGUGUCACAGGGCAAAGAAAUAAUGCUCCUGAAUGUAUUGGCAUAUCUUCUGAGUGUACAGGUUAGAGACUGUGCUCUUCUGACCCCUGAGCAUGAUUUAACUUUCUACUGAAAAUAGAGAAUUCUUUUCUUACUUGACUUCUGUGUUGUCACUGAGAAGACACAUCCGAGUUAUUUUCUUGUGAGUCUUUUUCAGCAUUUAUUUUUUAUAAUGGUACUAUAAAAGGUUAAGAACUUCAA
Coturnix japonica (Japanese quail) is the source of this 1403-nucleotide non-coding RNA. NCBI's taxonomy places the organism in Eukaryota, Metazoa, Chordata, Aves, Galliformes, Phasianidae. The record is from RefSeq and is a predicted model, not a curated record.